AAAUUGAAGAGUUUGAUCAUGGCUCAGAUUGAACGCUGGCGGCAGGCCUAACACAUGCAAGUCGAACGGUAACAGAAAGCAGCUUGCUGCUUUGCUGACGAGUGGCGGACGGGUGAGUAAUGUCUGGGAAACUGCCUGAUGGAGGGGGAUAACUACUGGAAACGGUAGCUAAUACCGCAUAACGUCGCAAGACCAAAGAGGGGGACCUUAGGGCCUCUUGCCAUCGGAUGUGCCCAGAUGGGAUUAGCUAGUAGGUGGGGUAACGGCUCACCUAGGCGACGAUCCCUAGCUGGUCUGAGAGGAUGA
Molecule: ribosomal RNA, 306 nt
Filed under: Escherichia coli
Lineage: Bacteria; Pseudomonadati; Pseudomonadota; Gammaproteobacteria; Enterobacterales; Enterobacteriaceae
Description: partial 16S ribosomal RNA
Rfam family: Bacterial small subunit ribosomal RNA
Source: RNAcentral